UUUCCGUAGGUGAACCUGCGGAAGGAUCAUUAUUGUAUAACCGAGGUGCGAGGGCUGUCGCUGACCCGAAAGGUCGUGCACGCCCGAGUGCCCUCACACACAUCCAUCUCACCCCUAUGUGCACCACCGCGUGGGUCCCCCUUUGGCUUGUUCGGAGGGGGGCUUACGUUUUCACACAAACUUUGUAUGCAGUGUAGAAUGUAUUUUUUGUUUUUGCGAUCACGCAAUCAAUACAACUUUUAACAACGGAUCUCUUGGUUCUC
This 263-nucleotide unclassified non-coding RNA is filed under the name plant metagenome. RNAcentral's name for it is "partial contains small subunit ribosomal RNA, internal transcribed spacer 1, and 5.8S ribosomal RNA". The record is from RNAcentral.